RNAcentral lists this ribosomal RNA (433 nucleotides) under uncultured bacterium. RNAcentral's name for it is "partial 16S ribosomal RNA". It matches the Rfam family "Bacterial small subunit ribosomal RNA", at positions 39 to 507 of the family's 1533-position model. The record is from RNAcentral.
GGGGGGGGGGGGGGGGGGGCGGAGGGCGGGCGGGGCGGGCGGGGCCGGCGGGGCGGGUGGCGCACGGGGGCGUGGCGCGUGGGAAUCUGCCCGUGGGUUCGGACUCACAGUUGGAGCCGACUGCUAGUACCGGAUGAGGACGUAAGUCCAAAGGUGUAUCGCCCAGGGAUGAGCCCGCGUAGGAUUAGCUAGUUGGUGGGGUACAGGCCUACCAAGGCGACGAUCCUUAGCUGGUCUGAGAGGAUGAUCAGCCACACUGGGACUGAGACACGGCCCAGACUCCUACGGGAGGAAGCAGUGGGGAAGAUUGGACAAUGGGCGAAAGCCUGAUCCAGCAAUGCCGCGUGAGUGAUGAAGGCCUUAGGGUUGUAAAGCUCUUUUACCCGGGAUGAUAAUGACAGUACCGGGAGAAUAAGCCCCGGCUAACUCCGUG